RNAcentral lists this long non-coding RNA (963 nucleotides) under Helianthus annuus (common sunflower). Lineage: Eukaryota; Viridiplantae; Streptophyta; Magnoliopsida; Asterales; Asteraceae. The record is from RNAcentral.
AAAAGAAUCACCAAAAGCGCGAGGACUAGGAGCAUUUGUGCUUAUUGACAAGAUCAAGCAAGUCUUGGAAGCACGGUGCCCAUGAGCCGUUUCGUGUGCUGAUAUUCUCAACAUUGCAGCCAGAGAUGCCGUGUAUUUUGGGUGUGAUGCAUCGGUUUUUCUAGAUGGACAAAACACAGAAAAAGAAUCACCAAAAGCGCGAGGACCAGGAGCAUUUGUGCUUAUUGACCAGAUCAAGCAAGUCUUGGAAGCACAGUGCCCAGGAGCCGUUUCGUGUGCUGAUAUUCUCAACAUUGCAGCCAGAGAUGCCGUAUAUUUUGUAAGUGAAGUCCGUUUCUUAUAUUGAGACCGUGGUGGUGUUUGGUAACAGUAGUUCUUCGUUUGAAGCAAUAAACUAAUUGAAUUAAAAAUACUAUGGAGGAUAUAAAUGAACGGCCUGAUAUCAGCAGUUAAUCCAUUUUCAUGCUGGGAAAAGUAUCCGAAACUUGAACGGACACAGCAUUGGGCCAUAUCAAAUUCAUGCUGGGAAAUCAGUGCCAAUCGUGAAGGGAGGAGAAUAGACAAAGAUGGAAGAGGGAGAAUUCUAUGCAAUUGAAACUUUUGGAUCUACAGGUAAGGGAUAUAUGAGAGAAGAUCUGGAGAGCAGCCACUACAUGAAAAACUUUGAUGUGGGGCAUGUUCCGUUGCGGUUGCCAAGAGCAAAACAGCUUCUUGCCACAAUUGAUAAGAAUUUCUCUACACUAGCUUUCUGUUGACGCUAUUUAGAUCGACUUGGAGAGACCAAAUAUUUAAUGGCUCUCAAGAAUUCGGGUGAUGCUGGUGUUAUUCAGGUAUGGGUUUGUUUUUCUUACUUUUGGGAUUUGAGGUGAAGACCGAUUGUGGCGUUAACCAUUUUUAAGUACUCGCUUAUGCAGUUAUACUUUAUGGAACUCAUAUUUUCAUAUAUUAACCGUUUGAUCAAGC